This 586-nucleotide small RNA is filed under the name Pan troglodytes (chimpanzee). Its description in RNAcentral is "retained intron". The record is from RNAcentral. Lineage: Eukaryota; Metazoa; Chordata; Mammalia; Primates; Hominidae.
CUGGUCAUCUUAAAAUUUUGUAAAAUAGUAAAAUUUAGCAAAAUUGAUACUAGAAAAUUUAUGAAAAUAUCUUGGCUUUCUCUUAGUAGUUUUUGUAGGCUCUUAAGAGUGUAUCAUUAAGCUUUAGCGUAACAGAUUCUUUUGAAUCAAGUACUGGAAUCAGUUGUCCAGGUGGAGUAAUACAGAAAAGCUAAGGUCUAGAAACCAGGGGACCAUUUUAGAUACAAAGCAGAAUUGCGGAAUUGCCAGAUUAUAACUUGAGGUUUGUUCGGGGGAUUUUUUUUUUAACCAUCUAAAAUAAGUGUAUAUAAGAUGGACUGAGUCUUCUAAAGAGAUUCUAAAACUGUAUUCUUACUUAAGUCUGAACAGGAAUUAAGAAUAACUCAAAGUGAAUUUGAUCGUCAAGCAGAGAUUACCAGACUUCUGCUAGAGGGAAUCAGCAGUACACAUGCCCAUCACCUUCGCUGUCUGAAUGACUUUGUAGAAGCCCAGAUGACUUACUACGCACAGUGUUACCAGUAUAUGUUGGACCUCCAGAAACAACUGGGAAGAGACAGAGUUUCACUCUUCCAGCCCAAGGUGGAGU